Molecule: ribosomal RNA, 253 nt
Filed under: uncultured bacterium
Lineage: Bacteria
Description: partial 16S ribosomal RNA
Rfam family: Bacterial small subunit ribosomal RNA
Source: RNAcentral
UACGUAGGGGGCAAGCGUUGUCCGGAAUCAUUGGGCGUAAAGAGCGUGUAGGCGGUCCGAUAAGUCCGCUCUGAAAGCCCGGGGCUCGACCCCGGGAGGCGGGCGGAUACUGUCGGGCUAGAGUCCGGAAGAGGCAAGUGGAAUUCCUGGUGUAGCGGUGAAAUGCGCAGAUAUCAGGAGGAACACCAGUGGCGAAGGCGACUACCUGGCCUGUUCUUGACGCUGAGGCGCGAAAGCUAGGGGAGCAAACGGG